GGACGCGAUGGAGUGGGAGAUGGCCGAUCUGGUGCCUGAAACAAAAGGGUGCUAUUUUUAUGAGUUUUUAUGAAUUAAAAUGAUGAACAGAAAGAGAACUAUAUGAUCAAUGAAGAACAGAAGCAAAUAUGACUUUUUAUGGGUUUUUAUAAUGAAUGGAAAAAUCUAGAACUAUAUGACGCAAGAUAAAACAAAAUAAGAGAAGGAUAGAGGUAUGGGGGAUGGAUCCUUGUCGCUGGAUGUGUAUCUCUCUCAACAAGAACAGUGGAUGGCGGGGGAUAGCUAUGGGAUUUGGCUUGCUGGAUGUGUAUCACUC
This 316-nucleotide long non-coding RNA is filed under the name Brassica napus (rape). RNAcentral's name for it is "long non-coding RNA (BNAP_LNC011368)". The record is from RNAcentral. Lineage: Eukaryota; Viridiplantae; Streptophyta; Magnoliopsida; Brassicales; Brassicaceae.